GUCAGCUGCCAGGCCGCCCCAGAGAAGAGGAGGAACAGGUGAGUCAUUUUGGGCCCCUGCCCAAUCUGGACCUCCAGUGAGGCAAUUUUCUGGCUGACCCUACGUGGCAGCUGCUGCUUCUGAUUAGUUUCAUUAGUCAUGGAGGAAGGGAGGAGGGUAUCAGCUCAGGGUAGGGGCAGGCAUCAGGCCGGAUCUCUGAGGGAGAGGGGACAGGAGCAGUUUAUUCCUGGGGAGACUGCCAGACAGAGGGCUGGGAGCACACAUUCCCACUUCACACAGGUACAGCACCGUCAGCCUCGCCCAGGCCCUGCUACAGGAGAUGACCAGGCAGGCCCAGAUCUGGGAGAAAAUCAAGUAGGAUGGGACGGGGAAGGAGCCCACAGGGGACCAGGGCGUGGGGGCCUGUGCCUCACCUUUGACAUCGCCAUGCAGAAUCCUUCGGGUGUGGAGGUACUCCAGCCCUUCCAGAGCCUGGCCCAGGUAGUAAAGGGCCCGGUCUUCUGGCAGACAGCCCUUCUGCUUUAUGAGCUGGCCCAGCGAGCCACCUAGGAGACCAAUGGCCAGUCUUUACACGUGGCUUUUCCAGGCCUCCAAGCAUGCCAGGGGCAAGGGCCUUCACAGGGCAGGCGAUGGAAAGCAGGCCUUUUCUGCUGAUGUCACAGGGUCAAGAGGUUAAAAAUGGAUUGACUGGGGAUCUAGGCAAGACUUGGGGAAAUCCUUGGCUCAGAAUUUUGAGGGAGAAAGAGCGGCACCUGGCUUUUUACCUUCUAGUAGUUCCAUGAAGAUGUUGACCCAAGGACCUUCCUUCACAGCUCCAUACAAAGGGACAAUUCUGGGUGAGGUCAGUCCUGCACAUGCCAUCAACUCCUCUGCCCGAAACACUUCUACUCGCACCUGGAAGGGCCCAGAGGUGGCUGCAAGUCAGGGUAGAUCACGUCCCCUAAGCGGUGUUUCCACAUGCAAAUGGUGGCGAUACUGGCAUCUGAUCCUGAGAGAGAGGACUUGGAGGGAUAACGACCAGCAACAGGCCUGGUGACCAGUGGGUGCUCAAAAAUGCCAGCUCCCCACUUCCUCCCUCCAGCUCAAACAGAAGCUGAAGCCUGGACAAGGAAGCUGCCCAAGGUCACUGGGUAUAAAGUAUCAGAGCUGGGAUUGUGGUUGGGGAAGCCUGACUCCAGAGCUGCUGGCUACCCUGCCUCACCAAAGGCCAUUCCAGGUGUAUUAGCCUUUAAAUCCUAACGUGUUUACAGACACCCAGGAGUGAGCACACCUGGAUGGAAGUGUGCUCAGCAAUCACCUAAUUGCCAAAGCCACAAGCCACGAGCCACUUCCCUCUGCUUAAUGAUUUUCCAGCUGAUAAUCCCGAAGGACACUACUGCCUGCCCGACCCUCUCCACAUGAAAGAAGCCAUCCCCACUAGACUGCGCUGGAGGAGGCGGAGGUCUAAGCGGCGGCUCCGGUGGGCUCAAGCAGCUGCUCUGGCUCUCAGGGGUCUGUGUGCUUGGAGGUUUUCUGACUGGCUUGGGAGCUGGAAGUAUUGUUAGUGUUGUGGAGUAUCCUAGGCGUACGUAUAAGUGGAAAAAUGCUACCAUGAGCUGUUGGUCUUGCAGGCUCCACCCUAAGAAUGCUCCUGGGUUACAGGGGGUCCUGAGCCUCACCUGUGCACAGCCGCCCUUGCACGAGGACUGCACCUGCCUGCAGACCCAGACGCCCGCCCACCCUGCCACCAGCCCCAAUCCGGGCCCCUUACAUUCAGCCUGGGCAAUGAUGGAGAUGGCUGCCAGCCCUCCCUCGGAGCCGUCCUUGGCCGUG
Molecule: non-coding RNA, 1812 nt
Organism: Manis javanica (Malayan pangolin)
Lineage: Eukaryota; Metazoa; Chordata; Mammalia; Pholidota; Manidae
Source: RefSeq, a predicted model, not a curated record